ACACUCCCAUCAGUGUACCACAUGCAUCCGUCCAAUUCAGACAUAAUGUUAGCCAGGCUAAACAUCCUACACAUACUGAUCCACCCUGAUCAACCAAAACAUCUAUACUCGUCCUAUCAGCCCUUAGACCCGAUCAAUGACUAUGCAGCCAGUGAUCCAAUCAACCGGCUAUCGCGCUUUCAGUCUCACUUUACCCAGUCUUCAUCUCUCGAUCAGAACAUGUCGUGAUUCGUUGGCUUGAAUCCUUAGCCAAUCAGACUCUUGCUAUCAUCCAAAGUUCAUGUCCCAAAUCCUGACCUUGCGCUUCAAGCAAAUCAUCAUCUUUCUUGGCUAGUAAGUAUAUCCACGAAAUCAUUCU
This 358-nucleotide long non-coding RNA is filed under the name Brassica napus (rape). RNAcentral describes it as "long non-coding RNA (BNAP_LNC021223)". Lineage: Eukaryota; Viridiplantae; Streptophyta; Magnoliopsida; Brassicales; Brassicaceae. The record is from RNAcentral.